RNAcentral lists this ribosomal RNA (253 nucleotides) under uncultured bacterium. Its description in RNAcentral is "partial 16S ribosomal RNA". It matches the Rfam family "Bacterial small subunit ribosomal RNA", at positions 524 to 776 of the family's 1533-position model. The record is from RNAcentral.
GACGAAGGAUGCAAGCGUUAUCCGGAUUCAUUGGGUUUAAAGGGUGCGUAGGCGGACUUGUAAGUCAGUGGUGAAAUCUCUCAGCUUAACUGAGAAACUGCCAUUGAUACUGCAGGUCUUGAGUACAGAUGCCGUUGGCGGAAUAUGACAUGUAGCGGUGAAAUGCAUAGAUAUGUCAUAGAACACCGAUUGCGAAGGCAGCUGACGAAACUGUAACUGACGCUGAGGCACGAAAGUGCGGGGAUCAAACAGG